This 1308-nucleotide long non-coding RNA is filed under the name Chloebia gouldiae (Gouldian finch). RNAcentral describes it as "Erythrura gouldiae (Gouldian finch) lncRNA (ENSEGOG00005018000.1)". Lineage: Eukaryota; Metazoa; Chordata; Aves; Passeriformes; Passeridae. The record is from RNAcentral.
GUGAAUUCGGGGCUGAUUUUGGGUUCGGGGUGAAUUCGGGGCUGAUUUUGGGUUUGAUUUUGGGGUCGGGUGAAUUCGGGGCUGAUUUUGGGGGGGGUUUUGGGGUCCCCAGGCCGAAGCCGCGGCCCGAGGGGGGCGGGGGGUGGCAGAAGUGGCCCCGGGCCUAUCACGGCACCAGCGCCGGCGCCGUGCGGCGCAGCCUCGACCGCGGCGAGCUCGUGCCAGGUGGGCACCCCGAAACGGGGAGGGGACCCCGGAAACGGGGAGGGGACCCCGAAAAUGGGGAGGGGACCCCGGAAAUGGGCACCGGGACCCCGGAAAUGGGGAGGGGACCCCAGAAAUGGGGAGAGGGACCCCGAAAAUGGGGAGGGGACCCCGGAAAUGGGGAGGGGACCCCGGAAAUGGGGAGGGGACCCCGGAAAUGGGGAGGGGACCCCGGAAAUGAGGAGGGGACCCCAAAAUGGGCACCGGGACCCCGGAAAUGGGGAGGGAGACCCUGAAAAUGGGGAGGGGGACCCUGAAAAUGGGGAGGGGACCCCAAAACGGGCACCGGGACCCCGAAAAUGGGGAGGGGACCCCGGAAAUGGGGAGAGGGACCCCAAAACGGGCACCGGGACCCUGAAAUGGGCACCAGGACCCCGGAAAUGGGGAGGGGACCCCGAAAUGGGCACCGGGACCCCGGAAAUGGGGAGGGGACCCCGGAAAUGGGGAGGGGACCCCGAAAUGGGCACUGGGACCCCGGAAAUGGGGAGGGGACCCCAGAAAUGGGGAGGGGGAGCCCGAAAAUGGGCACGGGACCUUGAAAAUGGGGAGGGGACCCCAAAAUGGGCACCGGGACCCCGAAAAUGGGGAGGGGACCCCAAAAUGGGGAGGGGACCCCGGAAUGGGCGCCGGGACCCGCAGAAUGGGCACCGGGACCCCGAAAUGGGGAGGGGAACCCCGAGAAAGGGCAUGGGGACUCCAGAAUGGGCACCGGGACCCCAAAACGGGGAGGGGACCCCGGAACGGGCACCGGGACCCCGAAAAUGGGGAUGGGACCCCAAAAUGGGCACUGGGACCCCAAAACGGGGAGGGGACCCCAGAAACGGGGAGGGGACCCCAAAACGGGGAGGGGACCCCGGAACGGGCACCGGGACCCCGAAAAUGGGGAGGGGACCCCAAAACGGGCACCGGGACCCCGGAAAUGGGGAGGGACCCAAAAACGGGCACCGGGACCCCGGAAAUGGGGAGAGGGACCCCUAAAUGGGCACCAGGACCCCGGAAAUGGGGAGGGGACCCCGGAAAUGGGGAGAGGGACCCCGAAACGGG